ACAAGCGGUGAGCAUGUGGUUUAAUUCGAUGAUACGCGAGGAACCUUACCUGGGCUCAAAUGUAUGUUGACGUAUUCUGAAAGGGAUACUUCUUCGGACAAUAUACAAGGUGCUGCAUGGUUGUCGUCAGCUCGUGCCGUGAGGUGUCGGGUUAAGUCCCAUAACGAGCGCAACCCCUAUCAUUAGUUGCCAUCAGGUCAAGCUGGGGACUCUAAUGAAACUGCCUACGCAAGUAGUGAGGAAGGUGGGGAUGACGUCAAAUCAGCACGGCCCUUACGUCCAGGGCUACACACGUGCUACAAUGGCCGGUACAAAGGGCAGCUACCUGGUGACAGGAUGCUAAUCUCAAAAGCCGGUCUCAGUUCGGAUUGGAGGCUGCAACUCGCCUCCAUGAAGUCGGAAUCGCUAGUAACCGCAGAUCAGCUACGUUGCGGUGAAUACGUUCCCGGGCCUU
RNAcentral lists this ribosomal RNA (454 nucleotides) under uncultured Sphingobacteriales bacterium. RNAcentral's name for it is "bacterial SSU rRNA". It matches the Rfam family "Bacterial small subunit ribosomal RNA", at positions 925 to 1382 of the family's 1533-position model. The record is from RNAcentral. Lineage: Bacteria; Pseudomonadati; Bacteroidota; Sphingobacteriia; Sphingobacteriales.